Molecule: non-coding RNA, 531 nt
Organism: Styela clava
Lineage: Eukaryota; Metazoa; Chordata; Ascidiacea; Stolidobranchia; Styelidae
Source: RefSeq, a predicted model, not a curated record
UGUGCUCAUUCAAACCUCAAUGGAGUCUACUAUAUGGGUGGACAUUACCGGAGUAAGUUCCAAGAUGGAAUUUAUUGGUCAGAAUGGAGGGGCGGGUCUUAUUCACUGAAGCAUGUCGAGAUGAAGAUAAGACCAUCAGAAUAAAAAAAUCGGGUUUGAAAUUGCGAGCUCGAACAUUUUUGAUGGUGUUAAAGAUGCAGUACUGAUAUUUGUACAAAUUGCCGAAUCUGUCCCUUAGUACCUCCUCACGUAUCACUGGAUAGAUGUACUGAGUCUUGUUCAGAGCAGAAAUAUGAAAAUGCCUCAAAAAAGCCGAUUAGUAUCGACGAUGACGUUAUCGAGGACAUUGUUUUUCAUAAAGUAUUUCUCAACUUCUUUGGUCACGUGAUCGUUGUUUGAUCGUUCGUCGUUGACAUUUGUUGAAGAAAACUUUUAUAUGGAGUAAAAAAAUGACACAGCUAAAUUUCAAAAAAUUGUGGGUUUUUAAAUUUGCUACUACUCGGAUUAUAUUUGCUACUAAAAAGUAUUAAA